This 342-nucleotide ribosomal RNA is filed under the name uncultured bacterium. Its description in RNAcentral is "bacterial SSU rRNA". It matches the Rfam family "Bacterial small subunit ribosomal RNA", at positions 170 to 507 of the family's 1533-position model. The record is from RNAcentral.
CGCAUACGCCCUACGGGGGAAANCGGGGGAUCUUCGGACCUCGUGCUAUUAGAUGAGUCUGCGUCGGAUUAGCUUGUUGGUGAGGUAAUGGCUCACCAAGGCGACGAUCCGUAGCUGGUCUGAGAGGAUGACCAGCCACACUGGAACUGAGACACGGUCCAGACUCCUACGGGAGGCAGCAGUGGGGAAUAUUGCACAAUGGGCGCAAGCCUGAUGCAGCCAUGCCGCGUGUGUGAAGAAGGCCUUAGGGUUGUAAAGCACUUUCAGCAGUGAGGAAAGGGGUGUCGUUAAUAGCGCCAUCCUGUGACGUUAACUGCAGAAGAAGGACCGGCUAACUCCGUG